GAUGAAGAACGUAGCGAAAUGCGAUAAGUAAUGUGAAUUGCAGAAUUCAGUGAAUCAUCGAAUCUUUGAACGCACAUUGCGCCCGCCAGUAUUCUGGCGGGCAUGCCUGUCCGAGCGUCAUUUCAACCCUCGAACCCCUCCGGGGGGUCGGCGUUGGGGAUCGGCCCUUUACGGGGCCGGCCCCGAAAUACAGUGGCGGUCUCGCCGCAGCCUCUCCUGCGCAGUAGUUUGCACACUCGCAUCGGGAGCGCGGCGCGUCCACAGCCGUUAAACACCCCAAACUUCUGAAAUGUUGACCUCGGAUCAGGUAGGAAUACCCGCUGAACUUAAGCAUAUCAAUAAGCGGAGGA
This 350-nucleotide unclassified non-coding RNA is filed under the name soil metagenome. RNAcentral's name for it is "partial contains 5.8S ribosomal RNA, internal transcribed spacer 2, and large subunit ribosomal RNA". The stretch from base 1 to 120 matches the Rfam family "5.8S ribosomal RNA", at positions 35 to 154 of the family's 154-position model. The record is from RNAcentral.